RNAcentral lists this transfer RNA (103 nucleotides) under Ceraceosorus bombacis. It matches the Rfam family "tRNA". From Rfam's summary of the family: Transfer RNA (tRNA) molecules are approximately 80 nucleotides in length. Their secondary structure includes four short double-helical elements and three loops (D, anti-codon, and T loops). Lineage: Eukaryota; Fungi; Basidiomycota; Exobasidiomycetes; Ceraceosorales; Ceraceosoraceae. The record is from Rfam by way of RNAcentral.
GGGGUCUUGGCUCAGUGGUAGAGCGUUUGCUUAGCGGCUUGCAACUGGUCGAGUACGGUUCAGAUCUUGCAUAAGGUCGCGGGUUCGAUUCCUGCAGACUCCA